This 440-nucleotide ribosomal RNA is filed under the name uncultured bacterium. RNAcentral describes it as "bacterial SSU rRNA". It matches the Rfam family "Bacterial small subunit ribosomal RNA", at positions 351 to 782 of the family's 1533-position model. The record is from RNAcentral.
GCAGUGGGGAAUAUUGGACAAUGGGGGCAACCCUGAUCCAGCCAUGCCGCGUGUGUGAAGAAGGCCUUUUGGUUGUAAAGCACUUUAAGCGAGGAGGAGGCUACCCUGACUAAUACUCAGGAGUAGUGGACGUUACUCGCAGAAUAAGCACCGGCUAACUCUGUGCCAGCAGCCGCGGUAAUACAGAGGGUGCGAGCGUUAAUCGGAAUUACUGGGCGUAAAGCGCGCGUAGGCGGUUUGUUAAGUCGGAUGUGAAAUCCCCGGGCUCAACCUGGGAAUUGCAUUCGAUACUGGCAAGCUAGAGUAUGGGAGAGGAAGGUAGAAUUCCAGGUGUAGCGGUGAAAUGCGUAGAGAUCUGGAGGAAUACCGAUGGCGAAGGCAGCCUUCUGGCCUAAUACUGACGCUGAGGUGCGAAAGCAUGGGGAGCAAACAGGAUUAGA